UUUCUCCUAGUCUAUCAUAAACUCCCAAACUAAGCCUAAGACUGAGAGAGAAUAGAAGGGUUUGCGGUGUUUUCUGGAAAAACUGAUAUGCUCGGAGAUUAUUGUUGACGAAGAAGAAGAAAGGUCGAAGAAGGCUUGAAAGUCUAGGGCUUGUAGCGGGGAAAAUUGAUAGGCAUGUGGAUUCCUAAAGCGCCUGAUAAUUUUUUCCCCGAAUUUGGGAAAAAAUUAAUAUCAUGAUGCUUUAAUUAUAUAUAGUUUUCAAUCUGAAUCUAUCAAUUUUUGCUGCUCGCCCCCUGAUUUCUCCUUCUCCCUCUCUCUUUCUCUCUCUCUCUCUCACACACACACACUCUCUCUCUAUAUAUAUGGGUCUCUGUUGGUAAUUGGUUUUUCCAUCGCUGCCCGCCGGACCUGGUGAUGAGAUCUUCUCUGAAGUUCGAUUUUUUGGUUUGUUUUGGUGGCUGCAGAGCAGCCGCAGAAUAAUGGGAGAGACAAAGGAGAACGAUGCCGACGAAGAGUAGCUUCUCGACAAUGAGGAAGAUGGCGAAAAAGCCCCCGACUCCGUCAUCGCUAAAGUCAACGGCGAGUCCGUUAAAAAAGGCUACGUUGGUAUCGACAGCUCCGGAUUCCGAGACUUGCUACUGAAGCCACAGCUUCUGCGUGCUAUUGUGGAUUCUGGGUUUGAGCAAUCCUUCCGAAGGCAAGUUACAACCAUCUCUUUGGGUGUUUGGAAUCUUCUACAUCAUCAUAAUGCAGAGAUUCGUCGUCCCUAUGGUUGAACUAAUUUCAAUGGAAAAUAAUUUAAAGCCCAAUCUAAUAACCAAAGGGGCUUAUCAACAGGAGUGGUUUCUAUUGAGUCCUAACUAUUUAGCCUAGUAACAACCACAAGAUAAAGGUUACGACCCAAGAGCCUCAAUAGCUAGCGAAAACUUUUGGGCCUAGUCUAAUAUGGAGGACGGAGAUAAGCCUAUUAAGUGGCCCACUAUCCUACUAGUCCAUCAAAAAGCUACUUCAUGUCCAAAAUUCCAAGCAGCCCACCUCUAAGAGCAAAUAAAUUUAAAUCCAAAUGGUGAAUUAGCAAAGCCCUAAAUAUGUAUAUUGCCGUUUUAAGCCAUUGUUAAGACUUUGAGAGAGAAUAGGAGAGUUUGCAGCGUUUUCUGGAAAAACUGAUAUGGUCGGUGAUUAUCGUUGAUGGAGAAGGAAGGUUGAAGAAGGCCUGAAAGUUUAGGGCUUGUAGCGGGGAAAAUUGAUAGGCAUGUGGAUUCCUAAAGCGCUUGAUGAUUUUUUUCCAGAAUUUGGAAAAAAUUAAUAUAAUGAUGCUUUAAAUA
Molecule: long non-coding RNA, 1325 nt
Organism: Coffea eugenioides
Lineage: Eukaryota; Viridiplantae; Streptophyta; Magnoliopsida; Gentianales; Rubiaceae
Exons: 3
Source: RefSeq, a predicted model, not a curated record